Molecule: long non-coding RNA, 1262 nt
Organism: Diachasmimorpha longicaudata
Lineage: Eukaryota; Metazoa; Arthropoda; Insecta; Hymenoptera; Braconidae
Exons: 3
Source: RefSeq, a predicted model, not a curated record
ACACACUUGCUCGGUCUGGCUAACUUUCUCUGCCAAUUCCUUGUCCACCUGCAUGGCCUGACUCCUCAGAUCCUUGACAGCCUUCACGUAGAUGUCAUUCAGGGUCUUCCUGAGGUGAAUAGACGUCUGCCUGACAGCCUCAGCAUUGGCCAGGGCCUCCGAGGAGGGAUUUACUGACUCUGGAGGUACUCUAGUGGCUCCUGGUUUCAUCAAAAUCAGCGGAGAAUCAUUCCUCAGGCUCACGCAGAGGGAAUCAAUCUCGUAAGCAUCUAAUUUAUCUGUUAUAUCGAACUCCAGUCUCGCCUUCGCUGUCCUCAACUCCAGGAGCUGAUACUCCACCGAUUCUCUGGUCCUUGUCAGGGUGCUCCUCACCACGUUGCACAGGGCAACUUCCUGGAAGUUGAGGGCAACUCGCAAAUCAGGCUCCAGUCGUUGACAACGAAUGUCCAAGAAUUCUCCAGCUAUGGACUCCGGCAGUGUUAGAAUCGAGAGGGACUGCUUAACACGACGCAGUUCACCCUCCAGCAACUCUAUCUCAUCUGUUAUCUCGUGCAGUGCCUUCUCCAACUCGGUUUUCCACCGGUGUAUCACGCUCGAACGUUUACUCAGUCUGUCCCGAUUUUCCAACUGAAUUGUGUCAGUUGUCUUGUAAAUUCGAGAGUUAUUUUCCCUCGUUUUUUCAGCUACGAAUCUGUUUUAAAAAAUUGUGAGACGAAAUUCGUGUUAAUUUUAGAGCCCAAGACCUUGUGCUGCUAAUUAAAUUAUUAAUUAUGUCGCCAUUAUUUUUCUAAUCAUUCUCUUCACUCUUACGAUACAGUUAAUUGAAUGUUCAAACAAGUUUUGUUGAUUAUUCAUAACAGGACAAUUUCAGAAAUUGAAAAAUAAGUGUUUAUCUGUCGUUGAGGUACUCUUACUGUGCCUCGUCGAUGGUUCUCCGGUUCUUAUCAAAAAAAGUUUGAUUAUGUGCCCUCCACUCAGCCGGACUGUAUCGAGUAACGGAGUAACGAUCGACGACAGGUCGUACGCCUGUAAUUCCGGCCGUGGGAGUGAAAACGACACGACCAGUUGCCCAUGGGCCAAUUGGUCCCAUCGUUUCCUCACUUGUACAAGGAAGAUCGUCGCUGGCUUGAGGCAAGUACGGUGGUGGAGACUUGCCUUCCUCGUUCAUGCGGUUUUGAAGGACAUCGACCGUUGGAUCAACCUUUAACGUAUCCUCAUAAUAAAAAAAAAAUCCUAAUCUCUAAUCCAUCAAAAAUUCCAUU